RNAcentral lists this ribosomal RNA (465 nucleotides) under Vreelandella stevensii. RNAcentral describes it as "partial 16S ribosomal RNA". It matches the Rfam family "Bacterial small subunit ribosomal RNA", at positions 338 to 795 of the family's 1533-position model. Lineage: Bacteria; Pseudomonadati; Pseudomonadota; Gammaproteobacteria; Oceanospirillales; Halomonadaceae. The record is from RNAcentral.
CCUACGGGUGGCUGCAGUGGGGAAUAUUGGACAAUGGGCGAAAGCCUGAUCCAGCCAUGCCGCGUGUGUGAAGAAGGCCUUCGGGUUGUAAAGCACUUUCAGUGGGGAAGAAAGCCUUGGGGCUAAUACCCUCGAGGAAGGACAUCACCCACAGAAGAAGCACCGGCUAACUCCGUGCCAGCAGCCGCGGUAAUACGGAGGGUGCGAGCGUUAAUCGGAAUUACUGGGCGUAAAGCGCGCGUAGGCGGUCUGAUAAGCCGGUUGUGAAAGCCCCGGGCUCAACCUGGGAACGGCAUCCGGAACUGUCAGGCUAGAGUGCAGGAGAGGAAGGUAGAAUUCCCGGUGUAGCGGUGAAAUGCGUAGAGAUCGGGAGGAAUACCAGGGGCGAAGGCGGCCUUCUGGACUGGCACUGACGCUGAGGUGCGAAAGCGUGGGUAGCAAACAGGAUUAGAUACCCUUGUAGUC